UAGGAUAGAGGCCUACCAUGGUGGUAACGGGUAACGGGGUGUUAGGGCACGACACCGGAGAGGGAGCCUGGGAAACGGCUACCACAUCCAAGGAUGGCAGCAGGCGCGCAAAUUACCCAAUCCCGACACGGGGAGGUAGUGACAAUAAAUAACAAUACGGGGUUCUUUAGGAUCUCGUAAUUGGAAUGAGUACAAUUUAAAUCUCUUAACGAGGAACAAUUGGAGGGCAAGUCUGGUGCCAGCAGCCGCGGUAAUUCCAGCUCCAAUAGCGUAUAUUAAGGUUGUUGCAGUUAAAAAGCUCGUAGUUGAAUUUCGGGGUUAGUAGGUUGGUCAUGCCUCUGGUAUGUACUGGUCUCACUGAUUCCUCCUUCCUUAUGAACCGUAAUGCCAUUAAUUUGGUGUUGCGGGGAAUUUGGACUGUUACUUUGAAAAAAUUAGAGUGUUUAAAGCAAGCUAACGCUUGAAUACAUUAGCAUGGAAUAAUGAAAUAGGACGUUCGAUCUUAUUUUGCUGGUUUCUAGGAUUGACGUAAUGAUUAAUAGGGAUAGUUGGGGGCAUUAGUAUUCAAUUGUCAGAGGUGAAAUUCUUGGAUUUAUUGAAGACUAACUACUGCGAAAGCAUUUGCCAAGGAUGUUUUCAUUAAUCAAGAACGAAAGUUAGGGGAUCGAAGACGAUCAGAUACCGUCGUAGUCUUAACCAUAAACUAUGCCGACUAGGGAUCGGA
RNAcentral lists this ribosomal RNA (724 nucleotides) under uncultured fungus. RNAcentral's name for it is "SSU rRNA". It matches the Rfam family "Eukaryotic small subunit ribosomal RNA", at positions 329 to 1057 of the family's 1831-position model. The record is from RNAcentral. Lineage: Eukaryota; Fungi.